This 191-nucleotide non-coding RNA is filed under the name Lachnospiraceae bacterium. RNAcentral describes it as "6S RNA". It matches the Rfam family "6S / SsrS RNA". Rfam says of the family: E. coli 6S RNA was the first non coding RNA to be sequenced, but its function was unknown until recently. It consists of 184 nucleotides that fold into an extended hairpin structure with a large single-stranded internal bulge. The 6S RNA specifically associates with RNA polymerase holoenzyme containing the sigma70 specificity factor. RNAcentral also lists the same sequence under 3 other names. Lineage: Bacteria; Bacillati; Bacillota; Clostridia; Lachnospirales; Lachnospiraceae. The record is from RNAcentral.
UCUUCCCUGCCCUGUUCGAUCACUACGGCUAUUAUAACCCAACACAUUCUAAUAGAGAGCUUUGCUCCGCCGGCAGAUUGCAGACCUCCCGGCCUCUGGCUGGAAGAAGGGAGCGAGAAACCGGAGGGCAGGCACUCACCUGCUUUUUGAGGCAGGUUAUUAAUCGCCGUUCCCGGCAUGGCGGGGAUUCU